GUUGUAUAGUCAAGUAAUUAAGUGCAUGUGGUGGAUGCCUUGGCAGUCAGAGGCGAUGAAAGACGUGAUAGCCUGCGAAAAGCUCCGGGGAGGCGGCAAAUAUCCUUUGAUCCGGAGAUGUCUGAAUGGGGGAACCCACCUACUUUAAGGUAGGUAUUGCAACAUGAAUACAUAGUGUUGCAAGGCGAACGAGGGGAAGUGAAACAUCUCAGUACCCUUAGGAAAAGAAAUCAAUUGAGAUUCCCUCAGUAGCGGCGAGCGAACGGGGAUCAGCCCAUUAAGUUAUGUGUGUUUUAGUGGAACGCUCUGGGAAGUGCGAACGUAGAGGGUGAUAUUCCCGUACACGAAAGGGCACACAUAAUGAUGACGAGUAGGGCGAGGCACGUGAAACCUUGUCUGAAUAUGGGGGGACCAUCCUCCAAGGCUAAAUACUCCUGACUGACCGAUAGUGAACCAGUACCGUGAGGGAAAGGCGAAAAGAACCCCUGUGAGGGGAGUGAAAUAGAUCCUGAAACCGCAUGCAUACAAGCAGUGGGAGCACCUUCGUGGUGUGACUGCGUACCUUUUGUAUAAUGGGUCAGCGACUUAUAUUCAGUAGCGAGGUUAACCGUAUAGGGGAGCCGUAGAGAAAUCGAGUCUUAAUAGGGCGUUUAGUUGCUGGGUAUAGACCCGAAACCAGGCGAUCUAUCCAUGAGCAGGUUGAAGGUUGGGUAACACUAACUGGAGGACCGAACCCACUGUCGUUGAAAAGCCAGGGGAUGACUUGUGGAUAGGGGUGAAAGGCUAAUCAAGCCUGGUGAUAGCUGGUUCUCCCCGAAAGCUAUUUAGGUAGCGCCUCGGACGAAUACCAUAGGGGGUAGAGCACUGUUUCGGCUAGGGGGUCAUCCCGACUUACCAAACCGAUGCAAACUCCGAAUACCUAUGAGUACUAUCCGGGAGACAGACUGCGGGUGCUAACGUCCGUAGUCAAGAGGAAAACAAUCCAGACCGCCAGCUAAGGCCCCAAAAUCAUAGUUAAGUGGGAAACGAUGUGGGAAGGCAUAGACAGCUAGGAGGUUGGCUUAGAAGCAGCCACCCUUUAAAGAAAGCGUAAUAGCUCACUAGUCGAGUCGGCCUGCGCGGAAGAUGUAACGGGGCUAAAACUAUGUGCCGAAGCUGCGGAUGUAUACUUUGUAUACGUGGUAGGGGAGCGUUCUGUAAGCCGAUGAAGGUGUGUUGAGAAGCAUGCUGGAGGUAUCAGAAGUGCGAAUGCUGACGUGAGUAACGACAAAACGGGUGAAAAACCCGUUCGCCGAAAGACCAAGGGUUCCAGUCCAACGUUAAUCGGGGCUGGGUGAGUCGACCCCUAAGGCGAGGCCGAAAGGCGUAGUCGAUGGGAAAAUGGUUAAUAUUCCAUUACUUCUGUGUAAUGCGAUGAGAGGACGGAGAAGGCUAAAUCAGCCUGGCGUUGGUUGUCCAGGUGAAAGGAUGUAGGCAUGUAUCUUAG
RNAcentral lists this ribosomal RNA (1486 nucleotides) under Acinetobacter baumannii IS-116. RNAcentral describes it as "bacterial LSU rRNA". It matches the Rfam family "Bacterial large subunit ribosomal RNA", at positions 1 to 1536 of the family's 2925-position model. The record is from RNAcentral. Lineage: Bacteria; Pseudomonadati; Pseudomonadota; Gammaproteobacteria; Moraxellales; Moraxellaceae.